GCCUCGGUGUCACAAACAGUUAAGCACUUGGCUGCUAACCAAAAUGUUGGUGGCUCAAAUCCACCUAGAGGCA
Molecule: transfer RNA, 73 nt
Filed under: Loxodonta africana (African savanna elephant)
Lineage: Eukaryota; Metazoa; Chordata; Mammalia; Proboscidea; Elephantidae
Rfam family: tRNA
About the family: Transfer RNA (tRNA) molecules are approximately 80 nucleotides in length.
Source: Rfam by way of RNAcentral